RNAcentral lists this long non-coding RNA (3360 nucleotides) under Elaeis guineensis (African oil palm). RNAcentral's name for it is "long non-coding RNA (EGUI_LNC036766)". Lineage: Eukaryota; Viridiplantae; Streptophyta; Magnoliopsida; Arecales; Arecaceae. The record is from RNAcentral.
UACAUAGCCCAACUUUGAAUAUACAUAUAACAUAAGUAUAUAUAUAAAUAUAUGAAGCAUGUAAUAUAGAUGUAUAUAUAAAUAUAUAAAAUGAUAGUAUUUUAAUUUUGAUUUGUCGGUUCGGUUCUAAUGGAUCACAUAGGUCAAUAAACCAAUAAUCAAAUUGAAAUAUCGAUUUUUCUAUUUUAUUCAACCAAAUCGAACCAGUUAAACUGUCAAAUCAUUAUAUUUGAUUCGGUUUGGACGGUUUAGGUGGUUUAAUCGAAAUUUUUUACACCCCUACCUCCGGAUGAUUUCGUGAGGUUGGCCUCUGGAUGACUUCAUGAGGUCGGUCUCCUUGUAAGGUCGACCUCCGGAUGACUUCGUGAGGUUGGCCUCGUGAGGUCAGCCUCCAGAUGAUUUCAUGAGGUCGGUCUCUAGAUGACUUUAUGAGGUCGGCCUCCUUGUGAGAUCAGCCUCCGGAUGACUUCAUGAGGUCGACCUCCGAUGAUGAUAUCGGUCUCCUCGUGACGUCGUCCCUUAGAUGACUUUGUGAGGUUGGCCUCCUCGUGAGGUCGGCCUCCGGAUGACUUCAUGAGGUCGUCCUUGUGAUGAUGUCAGCCUCUUUGUGAGAUCGGCCUCUGAAUGACUUCAUGAGGUCGGUCUCCGGAUGAUUUCAUAAAGUCGGCUAAGCGAUGAGAAUCUACCCUAACACUUGCUUUCCAACUCUCGAGCUCGAUUGCAUAGCUUUAAUUGGACGAAGGGAAUUCAUUGCUGCAUUGAUCCGGAUCGCUUUUCCUGACUUGUCCUCCUUUCUGACUUAUUUAUUUGCAUGCUUUCCUUCUCUGUUUGCUUACUUAUCUUUCUGCAAAAAUGACUUAGUGAAGUCGGAAAGACUAAGUAAAGUAGUCGGUUAGGAAGUUGCAGAGGAUAAUCAAACAUAUAGCCUUGAGAAAAACUUUCUAAGUCAUGUAGUCAAUUUUUGCAGACGAACUUGGUCAGAUUGAAGUCGUAGUCAUAGAUUGUUCGCUGUAGAUUGUUCCGUUGAACCGGAACAUAGUCGACAUUUGGAGGAGCUUUUCGAAUCGUUGAUUCAUCGUUUGGAGCGGGACCUUGAUGACCAUCAGAGGUUGGGGCUAGGUUAAUCUCGACCUCAUGAGGUCGGAUUCGGUUCCUUCCCGAGGUGGAGGUAUUGUCCACUUUGGUGCCGCACGAGGUUUAGCCAUGCAUAAAUGGGAGCAGCAUUGCUAGCAUGGGGCCGCAUAAAUUUGCCCUUUGGAAAAGGAUGCCUCACUAAGGAGAAAUUGUCCCCUCUGGCUGUGCGCACAGGGGAUUAGCCAUGCGUAGAGCGAACAGCGUCUCGCUGCUGUAAGGGCCUUAGGGUUUUAUCAUGGUGGCUUAGGAAAUGGGUGGGGCAAACUGCAUGCAGCCCCAUUCCUAUACGAGAAAUUGUUUGCCUUGACAGUGUGGGCCUGGCCGCAUGUGGGGCCAUAGUUGCCAGCAUGGGUGCAGACCGCAUGUGUCUCAUGGCUUUGUUUCACCUAGGUCUCGUGUGCAAUAUGGUGCUACGGCCCUUGAGCCUUAGCAGGCACUCUUACGAUCGACGAAUCCAUCCAUGUUCAACUCGGUGUUGUGGCCUCUUAGGGCUGCAUUCGUGGUUGACAGACCCACCCCGACUUUGUCAAUCGGGUGUCAGCCGACCAAUGCUAUGUCAGGUAUUAGCCGAUGAGGGAAUGAUUAUCUUAUAAAAUUUUCGAGUCAUCUGCCUCCCGGAGUUUUGGAGCUUAGCCAUUUUGUAGGGGCCUCCUGGUGAGGUGGAUUUUUUUGAAUUUUUUCCUCGAAUUUGUCAAUCUUGUCAGAGUUUUUUCUCGAAUUUUUUUCUCGACUUUCGAAUGAAGUCAGCCUUCGGAUGACCUGAUGAGGUCGGCCUUCGGAUGAAGUCGACCUUCGAAUGACCUAAUGAGGUUGGCCUUCAGAUGAAGUCCACGUCGGCCUCCUCGUGAGGUCGGUCUUCUCAUGGAGCUUGUCGAGGAGAAGGAGACUAGCAAUCACUGGAGUCAAUACGUGGAGCGUGCUAGGAGUCAGGAUGUAGUGAUCGUUGGGCAGGUCGAGAACUCGUCCGACGGGAGCAUUCGAUCGAACGGUGGGUCGAAGAUCAGGUCCGACGAUAGUGUCGGGAAGGCAUAUUAUGCAGCGUUAUCUCCUCCGGCCAGUGCUACUGUUGCUGCUAGAGAUCAUAGACACCUUCGUCAGAUUUUUCACCUACUAUAUGAGAGCAGCGAACUACUGGUGGUUUGCUGUCAUCGGUGAUCGUGAAACGCUCGACCCUCCGUGAGUCGUCAGAGGUGCGUCACAUCAUGAUGAGCAUUGAGCAGAGUUUGUGGAGGUAUUUUGUGCUCUAGUCUUGACCAUAGAGGAUCUUGAGAGAGAAAAUUUUUUCUGCUUGAUUGCCCCCCUACCUGGCGCACCAUACGGCCUUUCUUCGCUUGGGGUAGCCGGCCUGGAGUCGACUAGGUGCUGCGUCUGGAUGCAGAUCGGUGGGAUGCUGGGAGAUGAUGUGCCAUCGUCAGAGAAGAUGCACAAUGUCAAGAUCGAAGGCGAGAGCGAGAGGUUGUUGAUGAACGAUGGUGCUGGACUUCAUUCGACAUCGAAAGAGAGAGACCUACAAAGAAAGUCCCACCAGAGGUGGCUUCGGUGAAGACCCUCCGAUGCUUAAGUUAGUAAGGUGACUCAAUAUAGUGGAAACAACAGUGGAGUUUAGGCAUUGUGUUGGCCAACAUAUCUGGAGGGGUCUCUGCUUACCUCUAUUUAUAGAGAGAGCAAAGUGGAUGGUGAGAGGAUAGGUAAUCAUGUCAAUCAUGUUCUGUCAGUCGUAUGGCGUCGUGUGGACGUUUUUAAAUGGCUCUGACAGUGGGCGUACCUUCUAUUCGGCACGUAGGUGGUCGUGGUGGCUGGCCUUAUCAUGCGUGCGGCAUAAUUAAUGGCAUUAUAACAUCCCAUCAUGAUGCAUAGCCAGUCGGUCAGGAUAUAGCGUCUGAGCGACGUGACCUGAUGUGGCCUAUCAGGAUGGUGGUUCGAUCGGUUGGCUGACGUCCAUGUCAGGAAGUCAAUUGAAGGAGCCCAUCAAGUGGUGUGAUCCAGUCAUCAGUUUGGAUAGUUGAUAAGGCAUCGAGAGAGAAGUCGGCCUUCUGAUGACUUCUGAUGAGGUCGGCCUCGGCCUCUUAUUGAAGUCGACCUUCGAAUGAUUUUUGAUGAAGUCGACCUCGAUCUCCUGAUGAAAUCAGCCUCGACCUCCCGAUGAAGUCAGCGUCCGAAUGAUUUCUGAUGAGGUCGGCCUUAGCCUCUUGAUGAAGUUGGUCUCUACCUUUAGAUGAAGUCGGC